CUAAAAUAAUGGUGGCCAGGAUUCGAUUCCCCAAUUUCAGUUACCCCCAAACCUACCCCAAUUUCAUUUACCAAAAAUAACCCCACCCCGUCAUCUCUCUCUCGAACAAACCAGACGAUCCCACCGAAACCCUAGCGCUGCCCUCCAUUCAGCCGCCCAAAAACCCGGCGGCCGGUGCUUUGUUCACCGCCAAAAUGACACCCCACAACCACCUUGACCCUCCUCUCCAAAUCACACUCGUUUUACUUCGAAUAAACCUCGAGCCCUUCGAAUAUUAGAUAAAAAAUUUGGUCCGGAAACCCUAGUUCGUCUAAUUGACCCCAAAGUCACACCACUCCACCUCCUGACCUCCCUCGUUCCUAAAACACCAUCGGUUUGGCUCGAAUCGUGCUAGAACUGUUCGAAUCCCAAAUCGAACCAAAAAAACCUAAUGAGACCAAAACUGGAACCUGUCCAAGAUUAAGGAUUUGAGGUUAUUAAUCGACCUUAGUCGAGUGUUUUCAAUCAAGAACACUCUAUUAAGGUCCAUUUGACCCCAUAAGUUCGAAGCAGAGUUCAAGUUGAGUUUGUUUGUUUCAGAUUUUUUUUUUUAAAGUAUUUUUCCUCCUUCCCUUCUUGUUUUAUUUGUUUCCUAUUAUUAUGCAUAGUUUGGUUGGAAUCUAGUUUUGUUUAUCACUCUUCUUCUUCUCCAGUUAGACCUUUUAUUUGGUCGAAUUCUUCUGUUCGUUGAGUGUAUGUUAUAAGCUAUAUAGUCUAUUUGAAUAAUUUCGUCGAAUAGUUAGUUUAUAAGUUCUUUGUUUUUGUCAAUACAACUCGAGUCCUGUGUGUCUGUUUGAUUCUGUUUUUUUGUUGUCAAUUGUAUGUGUUAUAAACUUUGUAAUCGAUUAGUUAAGUAUAGUCGAUUAGUCUGUUUGAAAGAUAGAAGAAGCUUGAUAAUAAUCCAUUUUUGGUCAUUCAGCAUGAUUACCAUCUUGAUCCUUUCUGUUAUGAUUUCUAUGAUUGACAUGAACCUGGUCUUUAUAUUUGUUCACCUGAACCUCAUUCAUUGACUCUUUCUGCUCGAAUCACUGCCCGAAUUAAGACUAGGAUUGAUUAUAGCUAUGUUACGAUUUGGUAAUUAGUAAUGAGUGUUAGUUAUAUUUUUGAGAGGUUUAAAUACAGAUUGCUGAAGCUUUGAAUCAAGGUAGUAACAGUAGGAUUCAGGGGUAAUUUAGGGGUUGGCUAAGCUACUUUACUGAUUGGAAAUUAAAAACAGUAGUUUAAUGAUAAAAGAUAAAAGAAUAUACAUAGGAGAGGGAAUAUAAAAGCUGGAAAGUAAAAAGAGUAGGGAUAAUGAUAAAAGGUUUUUUCUCUUUUACAAUUGAAAAGAACAAAAAAGGGGGCUGGAAGGGGCUCUAGUUUCGCUAUAAUACUGGCAGACCUGGACAGAGAAAAAUUGAGAGAUAGAAAGAGAGAGGAGAGGGAAAACAAUCUGAAAGAGGGGGCUUGGGAAUAAAUUUCAGGGGCCACACUUAAAGAAUAUCAUAAGUUUUUUAACAGAAGCAAUCAGUUCUGUUGGUUUCUUUUGCUGGUCCUUCUUGAAUCAGUUCUAGGAAUCAAUCUUUUAAUUCAGUUUAAGAGAUAGAGUUUACAUAGAAAACUGUCCGCAAGUAAAAGAAACAAGAACCUACUAUUUUAUAAAAAGGUUGCGGAUUGAAUGUGACUUCCAGAAUCAUUUCACUUUUUGUUUACUGGAGUCAGUAGUGUUUUCUGGUUGGUUUUCCAGUGGUUUUGGGUUCAGCUGAGACACUCCAGGAUUUUUUUUGGGGUGUUUGUGUUGCUGUUGGUUUAAAAAUUCAAUCCGGGCUUGGUUGAAUGUGUUUCUGGUUGGUAUUGCUGCUGCUGUUUGAGUUUACUAUUGUGCCUAGGCUGUUCAGUUGUUUGAACUACAUUUGAUCCUUGAUGUGAUUUUCUGCUGUGAUUUGCUUCUGCUGAUCUCUUCUUCUCCUUCCUGUUGAUUUCUUAUUUCCAGGUAUACAAUUUGAAUUCACUUUGAUGUAACUGCAGAUAUGAAUGAAAUGAAGCCUUAUUCCAGAAUUCCUAGUUACAGACAAUCAUCUGAUGUAUGCUUGUUUAAUUUUUAAUUUGCUUGAACUGUAUUGAACUGGGAUUUGCAUAAUUAGGACCAUUUUCUAGCUGAUGUGAAUUGCCUAAUGUGUACUGGAUGGAAAGGUUAAUUUCUAUAAAAUGUGAUUAGAUGAAACAUAAUUGGUUCAACUUUGUCAAGUUUGUUUUCUAGUAAUUAAACGUGGUAGUAAAACUGGGUUUUAGGACUGUCAAAUAUGGAUUGGUCUUAGCUGUGAUAUAUUUUAGUGUGUUUGGACUAGUGAAAAGUUUUGAAGUUAACAAUGACUAAGCAGGAAAAAAAAUGUUUUGAAUUCUAGUGAGGUUAACUUUGACGAUUAGUUUAAAUCGUAUUUUCAGUUCGCCUUAGUCUGCCAUAUUCGCCCAAGUUUAAAUUGAUUCC
RNAcentral lists this long non-coding RNA (2506 nucleotides) under Nicotiana benthamiana. RNAcentral's name for it is "long non-coding RNA (NBEN_LNC007504)". Lineage: Eukaryota; Viridiplantae; Streptophyta; Magnoliopsida; Solanales; Solanaceae. The record is from RNAcentral.